GUCGCCCUGCCACUUGGGAACUUGAGUCUGAAAUCUUGGAGAAGUAUCCUCACUUGUUUUAUUAGGUAAGAAAGGCUCAGACCACAUGUUGAAGAAAUGACGCGUGUCAGUUUACACUAUAGUCUGCUUAUAGUUUAUGGGGAAUUAUUUUGAACCAUGGAUGUGUUAUGUACUCCAUAUUUCUAUGUUUUUCUUUGAAUGUUUAGUAUGUGUAUGAAUACAUUUUCAUGACUUUGUGUCGGGAUUGUAUUAAUCAUCUCUUUUGUCGAA
Molecule: non-coding RNA, 270 nt
Organism: Cicer arietinum (chickpea)
Lineage: Eukaryota; Viridiplantae; Streptophyta; Magnoliopsida; Fabales; Fabaceae
Source: RefSeq, a predicted model, not a curated record